UAAUNUUUUUAAGAAUGCCNUGGCUUCGGAAGCGGGGGAUUUNUUUGAUCAAAAAUAACCCGUUUGCAAANGCGGUUUUUUGAAGACUCGGAAAACUUUACUAAUCGAACAACCUUAGCGUUGACGGUGAUCUCUUGAAAUGGCUGACCUAUCAACUUUCGAUGGUAAGAUCAAAGCUUACCAUGGUUGUAACGGGUAACGGGGAAUCAGUGUUCGAUUCCGGAGAGGGAGCCUGAGAAACGGCUACCACAUCCACGGAAGGCAGCAGGCGCGUAAAUUACCCAAUACCGGCUCGGUGAGGUAGUGACAAAAAUUAACAAUAUGGGCCCUAGUGGUUUCAUAAUUGCAAUGAGAAUAUUUUAAAUACUUUAUCAAGUAUCAAUUGGAGGGCAAGUCUGGUGCCAGCAGCCGCGGUAAUUCCAGCUCCAAAAGCGUAUAUUAAAGUUGUUGCAGUUAAAAAGCUCGUAGUUGAAAUUGGGGAAUCUAAAUGAAUUGAAAUCUUUGAUUGAAAUUUAUUUGGUCCUUGUUUGUCAUGUAUAUUAUUCUGGUACUUUACUGUAUUAGUUUAAUAACUGACUAGUUUACUUUGAAAAAAUUAGAGUGCUUAAAGCAGGCUUAUGCUUGUAUAUUGUUGCAUGGAAUAAUAAAAUAGGACUUCGGUUUUAUUUUGUUGGUUUUCGAAACUGAAGUAAUGAUUAAAAGAGACUGCCGGGGGCAUGUGUAUGCUGAUGUUAGAGGUGAAAUUCUUAGAUCAUCAGCAGACAAACUACUGCGAAAGCAUUUGCCAAGAAUGUUUUCAUUAAUCAAGAACGAAAGUCAGAGGAUCGAAGACGAUCAGAUACCGUCCUAGUUCUGACCAUAAACUAUGCCAACUGACAGUUAGCUAAGGUAUAUUCAUAUCCUUGCUAGAAGUCACCGGGAAACCUAAGUCUAUGGGUUCCGGGGGAAGUAUGGUUGCAAAGCUGAAACUUAAAGGAAUUGACGGAAGGGCACCACAAGGAGUGGAGCCUGCGGCUUAAUUUGACUCAACACGGGAAAUCUCACCCGGUCCGGACACUGUGAGGAUUGACAGAUUGAUAGCUCUUUCUUGAUUCGGUGGGUGGUGGUGCAUGGCCGUUCUUAGUUGGUGGAGCGAUUUGUCUGGUUAAUUCCGAUAACGAACGAGACUCGAGCCUGCUUUUUAGUGUAUCUGUGUUAAAUCGCAGAUAAUUCACUUCUUAGAGGAAUAAAUAGCGUUUAGCUAAAUGAAAAUGAGCAAUAACGGGUCUGUGAUGCCCUUAGAUGUCCGGGGCCGCACGCGCGCUACAAUGUCAGUAACAACGAGUUUUUCCUAACUAGAAAUGGUUGGGUAAUCUGUUGAAUCACUGUCGUAUCAGGAAUAGUGGAUUGAAAUUNUUUCACUUGAACGAGGAAUUCCUAGUAAGCGCAAGUCACUAACUUGCGCUGAUUACGUCCCUGCCCUUUGUACACACCGCCCGUCGCUACUACCGAUUGAAUGGUUUAGUGAGAUUGUUGGAUUCUAAUCUAAGAAAUGGCAACAUUUCU
This 1545-nucleotide ribosomal RNA is filed under the name Microplana sp. MOTU28. RNAcentral's name for it is "SSU rRNA". It matches the Rfam family "Eukaryotic small subunit ribosomal RNA", at positions 165 to 1740 of the family's 1831-position model. Lineage: Eukaryota; Metazoa; Platyhelminthes; Tricladida; Geoplanidae. The record is from RNAcentral.